GUGCUCACUUUGGCAGCACAUAUACUAAAAUUGGAAUGAUACAGAAAUUAGUAUGGCCCUUGUGUAAGGAUGAUACACAAAUUCGUGAAGUGUUCAAUAUAUUU
RNAcentral lists this small nuclear RNA (104 nucleotides) under Castor canadensis (American beaver). The record is from RNAcentral. Lineage: Eukaryota; Metazoa; Chordata; Mammalia; Rodentia; Castoridae.